AGCCCAGAGCCUGAAUCAGUGUGUGUGUUAGUGGAAGCGUCUGGAAAGGCGCGCGAUACAGGGUGACAGCCCCGUACACAAAAAUGCACAUGCUGUGAGCUCGAUGAGUAGGGCGGGACACGUGGUAUCCUGUCUGAAUAUGGGGGGACCAUCCUCCAAGGCUAAAUACUCCUGACUGACCGAUAGUGAACCAGUACCGUGAGGGAAAGGCGAAAAGAACCCCGGCGAGGGGAGUGAAAAAGAACCUGAAACCGUGUACGUACAAGCAGUGGGAGCACAGAGCAAUCUGUGUGACUGCGUACCUUUUGUAUAAUGGGUCAGCGACUUAUAUUCUGUAGCAAGGUUAACCGAAUAGGGGAGCCGAAGGGAAACCGAGUCUUAACCGGGCGUUAAGUUGCAGGGUAUAGACCCGAAACCCGGUGAUCUAGCCAUGGGCAGGUUGAAGGUUGGGUAACACUAACUGGAGGACCGAACCGACUAAUGUUGAAAAAUUAGCGGAUGACUUGUGGCUGGGGGUGAAAGGCCAAUCAAACCGGGAGAUAGCUGGUUCUCCCCGAAAGCUAUUUAGGUAGCGCCUCGUGAAUUCAUCUCCGGGGGUAGAGCACUGUUUCGGCAAGGGGGUCAUCCCGACUUACCAACCCGAUGCAAACUGCGAAUACCGGAGAAUGUUAUCACGGGAGACACACGGCGGGUGCUAACGUCCGUCGUGAAGAGGGAAACAACCCAGACCGCCAGCUAAGGUCCCAAAGUCAUGGUUAAGUGGGAAACGAUGUGGGAAGGCCCAGACAGCCAGGAUGUUGGCUUAGAAGCAGCCAUCAUUUAAAGAAAGCGUAAUAGCUCACUGGUCGAGUCGGCCUGCGCGGAAGAUGUAACGGGGCUAAACCAUGCACCGAAGCUGCGGCAGCGACACUGUGUGUUGUUGGGUAGGGGAGCGUUCUGUAAGCCUGUGAAGGUGUACUGUGAGGUAUGCUGGAGGUAUCAGAAGUGCGAAUGCUGACAUAAGUAACGAUAAAGCGGGUGAAAAGCCCGCUCGCCGGAAGACCAAGGGUUCCUGUCCAACGUUAAUCGGGGCAGGGUGAGUCGACCCCUAAGGCGAGGCCGAAAGGCGUAGUCGAUGGGAAACAGGUUAAUAUUCCUGUACUUGGUGUUACUGCGAAGGGGGGACGGAGAAGGCUAUGUUGGCCGGGCGACGGUUGUCCCGGUUUAAGCGUGUAGGCUGGUUUUCCAGGCAAAUCCGGAAAAUCAAGGCUGAGGCGUGAUGACGAGGCACUACGGUGCUGAAGCAACAAAUGCCCUGCUUCCAGGAAAAGCCUCUAAGCAUCAGGUAACAUCAAAUCGUACCCCAAACCGACACAGGUGGUCAGGUAGAGAAUACCAAGGCGCUUGAGAGAACUCGGGUGAAGGAACUAGGCAAAAUGGUGCCGUAACUUCGGGAGAAGGCACGCUGAUAUGUAGGUGAAGUCCCUCGCGGAUGGAGCUGAAAUCAGUCGAAGAUACCAGCUGGCUGCAACUGUUUAUUAAAAACACAGCACUGUGCAAACACGAAAGUGGACGUAUACGGUGUGACGCCUGCCCGGUGCCGGAAGGUUAAUUGAUGGGGUCAGCGCAAGCGAAGCUCUUGAUCGAAGCCCCGGUAAACGGCGGCCGUAACUAUAACGGUCCUAAGGUAGCGAAAUUCCUUGUCGGGUAAGUUCCGACCUGCACGAAUGGCGUAAUGAUGGCCAGGCUGUCUCCACCCGAGACUCAGUGAAAUUGAACUCGCUGUGAAGAUGCAGUGUACCCGCGGCAAGACGGAAAGACCCCGUGAACCUUUACUAUAGCUUGACACUGAACAUUGAGCCUUGAUGUGUAGGAUAGGUGGGAGGCUUUGAAGUGUGGACGCCAGUCUGCAUGGAGCCGACCUUGAAAUACCACCCUUUAAUGUUUGAUGUUCUAACGUGGACCCGUGAUCCGGGUUGCGGACAGUGUCUGGUGGGUAGUUUGACUGGGGCGGUCUCCUCCUAAAGAGUAACGGAGGAGCACGAAGGUUGGCUAAUCCUGGUCGGACAUCAGGAGGUUAGUGCAAUGGCAUAAGCCAGCUUGACUGCGAGCGUGACGGCGCGAGCAGGUGCGAAAGCAGGUCAUAGUGAUCCGGUGGUUCUGAAUGGAAGGGCCAUCGCUCAACGGAUAAAAGGUACUCCGGGGAUAACAGGCUGAUACCGCCCAAGAGUUCAUAUCGACGGCGGUGUUUGGCACCUCGAUGUCGGCUCAUCACAUCCUGGGGCUGAAGUAGGUCCCAAGGGUAUGGCUGUUCGCCAUUUAAAGUGGUACGCGAGCUGGGUUUAGAACGUCGUGAGACAGUUCGGUCCCUAUCUGCCGUGGGCGCUGGAGAACUGAGGGGGGCUGCUCCUAGUACGAGAGGACCGGAGUGGACGCAUCACUGGUGUUCGGGUUGUCAUGCCAAUGGCACUGCCCGGUAGCUAAAUGCGGAAGAGAUAAGUGCUGAAAGCAUCUAAGCACGAAACUUGCCCCGAGAUGAGUUCUCCCUGACCCUUUAAGGGUCCUGAAGGAACGUUGAAGACGACGACGUUGAUAGGCCGGGUGUGUAAGCGCAGCGAUGCGUUGAGCUAACCGGUACUAAUGAACCGUGAGGCUUAACCUUACAACGCCGAAGGUGUUU
This 2659-nucleotide ribosomal RNA is filed under the name Escherichia coli. RNAcentral describes it as "partial 23S ribosomal RNA". It matches the Rfam family "Bacterial large subunit ribosomal RNA", at positions 296 to 2925 of the family's 2925-position model. The record is from RNAcentral. Lineage: Bacteria; Pseudomonadati; Pseudomonadota; Gammaproteobacteria; Enterobacterales; Enterobacteriaceae.